RNAcentral lists this ribosomal RNA (489 nucleotides) under Candida sanyaensis. Its description in RNAcentral is "partial large subunit ribosomal RNA". It matches the Rfam family "Eukaryotic large subunit ribosomal RNA", at positions 104 to 599 of the family's 3401-position model. The record is from RNAcentral. Lineage: Eukaryota; Fungi; Ascomycota; Pichiomycetes; Serinales; Debaryomycetaceae.
AAAGCUCAAAUUUGAAAUCUGGCUCUUUCAGAGUCCGAGUUGUAAUUUGAAGAAGGUAUCUUUGGGUCUGGCUCUUGUCUAUGUUUCUUGGAACAGAACGUCACAGAGGGUGAGAAUCCCGUGCGAUGAGAUGAUCCAGGCCUAUGUAAAGUUCCUUCGAAGAGUCGAGUUGUUUGGGAAUGCAGCUCUAAGUGGGUGGUAAAUUCCAUCUAAAGCUAAAUAUUGGCGAGAGACCGAUAGCGAACAAGUACAGUGAUGGAAAGAUGAAAAGAACUUUGAAAAGAGAGUGAAAAAGUACGUGAAAUUGUUGAAAGGGAAGGGCUUGAGAUCAGACUUGGUAUUUUGUAUGUUACUUCUUCGGGGGUGGCCUCUACAGUUUACCGGGCCAGCAUCAGUUUGGGCGGUAGGAGAAUUGCGUUGGAAUGUGGCACGACUUCGGUUGUGUGUUAUAGCCUUCGUAGAUACUGCCAGCCUAGACUGAGGACUGCG